GCCCAGAUGAGCAUUGGUGGUCCGGUGUAUGGGCUUCAAGCCCGUAGCUGGUGAUAGUGAGAGUGAUUCGAUGUCCCCUUCUGCUCG
Trichonephila clavipes is the source of this 87-nucleotide non-coding RNA. The record is from the annotation of a GenBank genome assembly. NCBI's taxonomy places the organism in Eukaryota, Metazoa, Arthropoda, Arachnida, Araneae, Nephilidae.